Molecule: ribosomal RNA, 435 nt
Filed under: uncultured bacterium
Lineage: Bacteria
Description: partial 16S ribosomal RNA
Rfam family: Bacterial small subunit ribosomal RNA
Source: RNAcentral
GAUGAACGCUGGCGGUAUGCUUAACACAUGCAAGUCGAACGGACUCUUCGGAGUUAGUGGCGGACGGGUGAGUAACGCGUGAGAAUCUGGCUUUGGGUUCGGGACAACCACUGGAAACGGUGGCUAAUACCGGAUGUGCCGAGAGGUAAAAGAGAAAUUGCCUGAAGAUGAGCGCGCGUCUGAUUAGCUAGUUGGAGAGGUAAAGGCCCACCAAGGCAGCGAUCAGUAGCUGGUCUGAGAGGAUGACCAGCCACACUGGGACUGAGACACGGCCCAGACUCCUACGGGAGGCGGCAGUGGGGUAUUGUCCGCAAUGGGCGAAAGCCUGACGGAGCAAUACCGCGUGAGGGAAGAAGGCUCUUGGGUUGUAAACCUCUUUUCUUAGGGAAGAACAAAAUGACGGUACCUAAGGAAUCAGCAUCGGCUAACUCCGUG